GGACUACAGGGGUAUCUAAUCCUGUUUGCUCCCCACGCUUUCGCGUCUCAGCGUCAGUCACUGUCCAGAAGGCCGCCUUCGCCACCGGUGUUCCUCUCGAUAUCUACGAAUUUCACCUCUACACCGAGAAUUCCGCCUUCCUCUCCAGGACUCAAGUCUCGCAGUUUCGAGUGCACUUCCUAGGUUGAGCCCAGGGCUUUCACACCCGACUUAUGAGACAGCCUACACGCGCUUUACGCCCAGUAAUUCCGAACAACGUUUGCACCCUCUGUCUUACCGCGGCUGCUGGCAC
This 292-nucleotide ribosomal RNA is filed under the name uncultured bacterium. Its description in RNAcentral is "partial 16S ribosomal RNA". The record is from RNAcentral.